RNAcentral lists this long non-coding RNA (1207 nucleotides) under Equus asinus (donkey). Its description in RNAcentral is "lncRNA (ENSEASG00005035874.1)". The record is from RNAcentral. Lineage: Eukaryota; Metazoa; Chordata; Mammalia; Perissodactyla; Equidae.
AGCCUACCGCAGGGGCCAAUCGAGGGCCUAGAAAGCCCCAUAUGCAAAUGUGAGGGCCAGGAGGACCCCAAGUUAGGAGGAGCGCGGGUGGUGGUUAGGGCUCGUCUGGCGGCCAGUGGGAGCACGUCUCCUUAAUCCUUCGAGGAGGGGCCCGCGAGUGUGGUUGGAGCGGUACAGCGGGGCGAGACCGGGGAGUGGGAAACGCGGGGUGGGGCCAGUAUUUCCCCAGGGUCUCCUCCCUGGCUGGGGAGAUGCUCCAGUGCCUGCCUUUGGAAGGCGAGGAAGGGACGGACUCAGAAGAGAGGGAGGACAGUACCAUAGAAGAUCCGAAAGAAAUCGUCACCCUCGCUUUUGUCAGACAGAACACUGGGAUGCAAAAGGGGCUUCAGAAUGCCCAGCAGGAAGGCAAGAAGAAGAGGAAGAAAAAGAGGUUAGGAUUGAAAGAUGGGGAAUGGGGAUCCAUGUUGGCGAGAGCAGGAGGGACCUGGAGGGAAGGAGGCCUAAGCUGCUAAUAGGAGGGUCAAGGAGAAACCGUGCGCUGAGACUGUCAAAAUCACACCUCGUUCGGUUCGUAUAAAAAGAACCACUUUUGAUGAUCUGUUUUGUAGAAUCAAAUACUGAUAUGUAUAAUCUAAAACUACACCUUGUCCUCAUCUUCAUUUUGCUUGUGUUUAUAAUGCCUCCUUUUUUUUAAUUGUGUGGGGAGAGACGAUGUCCUUGUUUUAGGAAGUGCUUAUUAUCGCGGGAAUUCAAUAUACUGUAAAUAUAACAGGACUAUGCGACUUCUUAGGAUCUGACUGCAGCUUCUACAUUCCAGUUCUUAUUUAAUAUUUUUCUAUACCUUGCUCCGUUUUUGGGGGAAAUGAAUCACUCCUCAGACUGAUGGAUGUCUGAAAGCUUGUCUACUUUCUAACUCACAGAUUCCCUUAAUGGGGUGGCAAGAGGAGGGAGACCAUUAAGUAUUUUCCCCAAAAAGACGUUCACUUCCUGUUUUUGAGGGGCCACUGGAGUAAAAGGAUUGAGGAGGCGAUGACGUUAACGUGAAGCUGCAAGCAAAAUUAGCUGCAACAGCAAGACGGAAUUUCUACCUCACGGGCAGAGUAAUAGUACUCUGAGCCCACGUUUUCUGCCACUUGGCAACCCUUUGAAUCUGUGUCCUCAGUGUCAGGGACCGUCAGACCAGGCGGAAGUGAGGCUGGUUAGGUUC